Molecule: ribosomal RNA, 253 nt
Filed under: uncultured bacterium
Lineage: Bacteria
Description: partial 16S ribosomal RNA
Rfam family: Bacterial small subunit ribosomal RNA
Source: RNAcentral
UACGUAGGGUGCAAGCGUUGUCCGGAAUUAUUGGGCGUAAAGAGCUCGUAGGCGGUUUGUCGCGUCGAAUGUGAAAACCCGGGGCUCAACCCCGGGCCUGCAUUCGAUACGGGCAGGCUAGAGUUCGGUAGGGGAGUCUGGAAUUCCUGGUGUAGCGGUGAAAUGCGCAGAUAUCAGGAGGAACACCGGUGGCGAAGGCGGGACUCUGGGCCGGUACUGACGCUGAGGAGCGAAAGCGUGGGGAGCAAACAGG